This 253-nucleotide ribosomal RNA is filed under the name uncultured bacterium. RNAcentral describes it as "partial 16S ribosomal RNA". It matches the Rfam family "Bacterial small subunit ribosomal RNA", at positions 524 to 776 of the family's 1533-position model. The record is from RNAcentral.
UACGGGGGGGGUAAGCGUUGUUCGGAAUUACUGGGCGUAAAGGGCUCGUAGGCGGCCAACUAAGUCAUACGUGAAAUCCCUCAGCUUAACUGGGGAACUGCGUGUGAUACUGGAUGGCUUGGAUUUGGGAGAGGGAUGCGGAAUUCCAGGUGUAGCGGUGAAAUGCGUAGAUAUCUGGAGGAACACCGGUGGCGAAGGCGGCAUCCUGGACCAAUAUUGACGCUGAGAAACGAAAGCCAGGGGAGCAAACGGG